UACAGAGGUCUCAAGCGUUGUUCGGAUUCAUUGGGCGUAAAGGGUGCGUAGGCGGCGCGGUAAGUCGGGUGUGAAAUCUCGGAGCUUAACUCCGAAACUGCAUUCGAUACUGCGGUGCUUGAGGACUGGAGAGGAGACUGGAAUUCAUGGUGUAGCAGUGAAAUGCGUAGAGAUCAUGAGGAAGACCAGUGGCGAAGGCGGGUCUCUGGACAGUACCUGACACUGAGACACGAAGGCCAGGGGAGCAAACGGG
RNAcentral lists this ribosomal RNA (253 nucleotides) under uncultured bacterium. RNAcentral's name for it is "partial 16S ribosomal RNA". It matches the Rfam family "Bacterial small subunit ribosomal RNA", at positions 524 to 776 of the family's 1533-position model. The record is from RNAcentral.